Homo sapiens (human) is the source of this 2103-nucleotide long non-coding RNA. RefSeq lists it as uncharacterized. The record is from RefSeq and is a predicted model, not a curated record. NCBI's taxonomy places the organism in Eukaryota, Metazoa, Chordata, Mammalia, Primates, Hominidae. The transcript is spliced from 3 exons.
CAAGUGGCACCAGCCAAAUCCCUGCCUUACUGACCUCUCCCCUGGAGGAGCAGGAGCAGCGCUCAAGGCCGCCCUGGGAGGGCUGAGAGGCAGGCUCUGGACUGGGGACACAGGGAUAGCUGAGCCCCAGCUGGGGGUGGAAGCUGAGCCAGGGACAGUCACAGAGGAACAAGAUCAAGAUGCGCUUUAACUGAGAAGCCCCCAAGGCAGAGGCUGAGAAUCAGAAGACAUUUCAGCAGACAUCUACAAAUCUGAAGGACAAAACAUGGUUCAAGCAUCUGGGCACAGGCGGAGCUGGUACCUUCGCUUAUACAAAUGUACUUACUUAUUACAUUUCAUUGCUGUCAGCUCCACGCAAGCAGGGAUAUUUGCCUGUUGUACACUUGCACGGAGAGAAUGAAUAGUGCCCCUCUGUUGACAUCAUUGCCUCUAGCCUACGUCUCUUUCCAGGGCUUUAGAUCCUGUUUCUAGAGACCCACUGGUGUCUCACAGGCAACUCAGCUCCUAGAUGGAAACAGCCUCCUCCGCCCCCCACAAGUCCACUCCUCCUGUGCUCUUGGCUCAGUCAGGGGUCCCCUUCUCUUCAGUUGCUCAAGCCAGAAGUCAAGGUCAUGUCCUUGAUACUUCCCUCUUCCCCAUGCCUCACAUCCAGUCACCAAUCUCCUAAAAUAUCUAGAAUGUGCACAGCUUCCACCAUUCUUUCUACCACCACCCUACUCCCCCAUGGCCAUGUCAGGCCACCACCCGCCCAUUCUUCAAAACUCCCUUCAGGCCUCACCUCCCAUGCCUCCCCUGAGUUCCCCCAGUCCCAGGCUGCUUCUCUCUGGUGGUGUUGCCAUUACCCAUCUCUUCUAUUAAACAGAGUGACCCAAGAGUGGAGAGUGGGUUUUGACUUUGUAUCCCUGGUGCUUGACUCAUAAGUAGGUGCUCAACAAAAAUUUUUUCUUUUUUUGAGAUGGAGUCUUGUUCUGUUGCCCAUGCUGGAGUGCAGUGGCAUGAUCUCGGCUCACUGCAACUUCUGCUUCUUGGGCUCAAGCGAUUCUCACAUCUCAGCCCCCACCCCAGCUGGGAUUACAGGUGCCUGCCACCACGCCCAGCUAAUUUUUUUUUUAUUUUUAGUGGAAAUGGGGUUCUGCCAUGUUGGCCAGGCUGGUCUUGAACUUCUGACCUCAAGUGAUCCACCUGCCUCGGCCUCCUGAAGUGUUGGGAUUACAGGCAUGAGUCACCAUGCCUGGCCAACAAAUGUUUGUUGAAUGAAGAAAUGUUGGUUAGCAGGUUGAAUUGUUGGCUCGUGGUUAGUUGGAUAGUUUAUGGUUGACUGGUUGAUUAGAUAAUUCAAUGAGUUAAUAGCUGGUUAACAGGAGAAUCAGUUAGUUGGUUUUUGAUAGGUUAGUCAAAGGGUUAAUAAGCCACCGGGCAUGUUGGCUCAUGCCUGAAAUCCCUGCACCUUGGGAGGCUGAGGCUGGAGGAUUGCUUGAGUCCAGGAGUUUGGGACCAGCUUGGGUAACAUGGCAAAACCCCAUCUCUACAAAAAAUAGGAAAAAAUAGCCAGUCAUGGUGGCAUGCUCCUGUAGUCCCAACUACUUGGGAGGCUGAGGUGGGAGGAUCACUUGAACCCUGGGAAGUCUAGGCUUCAGUGAGCUGUGACUGUGCCACUGCACUUCAGCCUGGGCGACAGAGUGAGACCCUGUCUCAAAAAAAAAAAAAGAAAAAGAAAAAGAAAAGAAACAGGCGUUAGUGAGUUGUUAGCUAUUUAGUUCCUUGGUUAACAGAUUACUUAGGGGAUCUGGUUGGCUGUCAGUUUCUUGCUUUGUAGGCUGGCUUUCUUGGGCCCCUCUUCUUAGUCUGUACCCUCUCCUUGAGCUCUCUCAUCUAUGCCCAUGGCUCAGAUGACCAUCUGUGAUUUGCUGUCCUCCAAAUGUGUCUGUAAGUGAGACCACAUGACCAGCUGCCUCCUCACUGGCCAUCCCACCCAAGUGUCUAGCAGGCUCCUCACACUCAACAUGUCCAGAAAGGGCCUCCUUGUCCAUUCUUCCACAGCUUCUCUGCUGUGCCCCACGCUAGUCAUUCCGCUGCCCUAGCCAGGACCUGAGGGCAUCGCUG